UCGACGAUGAAUCUUCUAGCUUGCUAGAAGUGGAUUAGUGGCGCACGGGUGAGUAAUGCAUAGGUUAUGUGCCCUUUAGUCUGGGAUAGCCACUGGAAACGGUGAUUAAUACUGGAUACUCCCUACGGGGGAAAGUUUUUCGCUAAAGGAUCAGCCUUUGUCCUAUCAGCUUGUUGGUGAGGUAAUGGCUCACCAAGGCUAUGACGGGUAUCCGGCCUGAGAGGGUGAUCGGACACACUGGAACUGAGACACGGUCCAGACUCCUACGGGAGGCAGCAGUAGGGAAUAUUGCUCAAUGGGGGAAACCCUGAAGCAGCAACGCCGCGUGGAGGAUGAAGGUUUUAGGAUUGUAAACUCCUUUUGUUAGAGAAGAUUAUGACGGUAUCUAACGAAUAAGCACCGGCUAACUCCGUGCCAGCAGCCGCGGUAAUACGGAGGGUGCAAGCGUUACUCGGAAUCACUGGGCGUAAAGAGUGCGUAGGCGGGGUAAUAAGUCAGAUGUGAAAUCCUGUAGCUUAACUACAGAACUGCAUUUGAAACUGUUACUCUGGAGUGUGGGAGAGGUAGGUGGAAUUCUUGGUGUAGGGGUAAAAUCCGUAGAGAUCAAGAGGAAUACUCAUUGCGAAGGCGACCUGCUGGAACAUUACUGACGCUGAUGCACGAAAGCGUGGGGAGCAAACAGGAUUAGAUACCCUGGUAGUCCACGCCCUAAACGAUGGAUGCUAGUUGUUGCCUUGCUUGUCAGGGCAGUAAUGCAGCUAACGCAUUAAGCAUCCCGCCUGGGGAGUACGGUCGCAAGAUUAAAACUCAAAGGAAUAGACGGGGACCCGCACAAGCGGUGGAGCAUGUGGUUUAAUUCG
This 860-nucleotide ribosomal RNA is filed under the name uncultured bacterium. RNAcentral describes it as "bacterial SSU rRNA". It matches the Rfam family "Bacterial small subunit ribosomal RNA", at positions 62 to 953 of the family's 1533-position model. The record is from RNAcentral.